GUGAAAAAUGUCAGAUUUUUAGUUAAGAUUGAUUCUGUCUUGGGUUAAUUGGUUUUAUUUUGAUAGUUUUAUAUACAAGCUUUUGCGCGUUGAAUUUUUAUCUUAAGGAUAAAUUGUGUUGUUAUUUGUAGUUCUUGAUUUUGGUGUUUUUGGAAACAUAGACUCAGUUAAUUGAAUAAAAGGCUGUUGAAAAUUGUGCCAGCAGACGCGGUUAUACAAUUAGCUUAAAUCAGUUUUCUUGGUUAGUAUUUAUUUGUUUUGUUAGAGAUUUAAUUGAUUAUUUAUU
RNAcentral lists this ribosomal RNA (286 nucleotides) under Anoplocerus luteus. RNAcentral's name for it is "partial small subunit ribosomal RNA". The record is from RNAcentral. Lineage: Eukaryota; Metazoa; Arthropoda; Insecta; Hemiptera; Coreidae.